RNAcentral lists this ribosomal RNA (371 nucleotides) under uncultured bacterium. RNAcentral describes it as "bacterial SSU rRNA". It matches the Rfam family "Bacterial small subunit ribosomal RNA", at positions 527 to 896 of the family's 1533-position model. The record is from RNAcentral.
GCAGGGUGCGAGCGUUAAUCGGAAUUACUGGGCGUAAAGCGUGCGCAGGCGGCUUCGCAAGUCAGACGUGAAAUCCCAGGGCUUAACUUGGGAAUUGCGCUUGAAACUACGUGGCUAGAGUGUGGCAGAGGGAGGUGGAAUUCCACGUGUAGCGGUGAAAUGCGUAGAGAUGUGGAGGAACACCAAUGGCGAAGGCAGCCUCCUGGGCCAACACUGACACUCAUGCACGAAAGCGUGGGGAGCAAACAGGAUUAGAUACCCUGGUAGUCCACGCCCUAAACGAUGAUGACUAGUAGUUGGAGGAGUUAAAUCCUUUAGUAAUGCAGCUAACGCGUGAAGUCAUCCGCCUGGGGAGUACGGUCGCAAGAUUA